RNAcentral lists this ribosomal RNA (274 nucleotides) under uncultured bacterium. Its description in RNAcentral is "partial 16S ribosomal RNA". It matches the Rfam family "Bacterial small subunit ribosomal RNA", at positions 523 to 796 of the family's 1533-position model. The record is from RNAcentral.
AUACGGAGGGGGUUAGCGUUGUUCGGAAUUACUGGGCGUAAAGCGCACGUAGGCGGAUUGGAAAGUUGGGGGUGGAAUCCCAGGGCUCAACCCUGGAACUGCCUCCAAAACUAACAGUCUAGAGUUCGAGAGAGGUGAGUGGAAUUCCAAGUGUAGAGGUGAAAUUCGUAGAUAUUUGGAGGAACACCAGUGGCGAAGGCGGCUCACUGGCUCGAUACUGACGCUGAGGUGCGAAAGCGUGGGGAGCAAACAGGAUUAGAUACCCUAGUAGUCC